AUGGCACUUCAGUCUCUACCCAAAGACGCGCCUGUCCCGCCCCGGCGAGAGGCCGGGGGCUGCGGCCGCACUGGGCGGGAGAGCAGCCCCGAGGGGCGGGCGGCCCGCGGGCCCUCCCGCCGGGGACAGGCGCGGGGGAGGCCGCUGAAGAAGGCGCCCCCCGAGCGGCCCCGCCGGCCACACAGGUACGCUGCUUGCCCGGCGGGCGCGGCGGCCAGCGGCGGCCCUCCGGCCCCGGCCCCGGCUCCCGCCGGCCGCACAGCGAGUUUCCCAGGCGCCGCGGAGGAAACCCCCGCGGCGAACUCUGCUCCCCCCUCCCUGCAGCUGCGGCCUGACGGAGACCCAGUUCCCGCCACCCCCGGCGUGGCUGCGGCUCCCACGGCAUCACCUUGCUGCCGCGGGCUCCGCGCUGCUCGCAGCGCCUGGAAACUUUCCUCCUCCGGCACCUCCAUCCCGCAGCUGGCACAGCCCGGCCCCCACAUUACCCCCGCCCUCACACUUACGCUCGGCAGGCGGUGCGGAGCACGCCGCGAUUCCGUCUGCUCCCGCAGCGCCGGGGGUCGCGUAUGCAAGAGAGAUGGAAGAGAGGAAGAGGUCUUUAGAGAGGAGACAGUUGACCUGGAACAGGAACAGGCAUAGCCAAGUGGCACUUUCCAAAGAUCCAAAGAUGCUUUCAGAAACUUGUGUAUUGGUGCUGGGAGAGCGCUGCUGCUCACGUGCAUAUUGAAGAGUUUGUCUGGGAUGUCUGAAUUACAUGGGACCGAGAUGAACAAGAUCAUGAAGAACAUGAAGAUGGCUUUUCAGUUUAUUCUCCUCUGUCUACACUGAAGGCAUGCUCUCCUCAGGCUUCUUUGGAUCCCUUACGAACAGCCAAGUUAUUCCUGCAGCGAGGACCUCUCAAAGGAACUGUUUCAGCAAAAUCUCACCAGUGAGCCAUGGCAAAAGCAGAUUGACAUUAGUGAAGAAAUUCAACCUUAGGUGAAUGGUAUUUAUAUUUAUAAAUACCAUCAUAAAAAUCUACUGUAGAAAUCCUGAAGCUUGUUUUUUAAAAUAAAUAAAAAAAUUAUUUACA
This 1072-nucleotide long non-coding RNA is filed under the name Parus major (Great Tit). RNAcentral's name for it is "lncRNA (ENSPMJG00000016276.1)". Lineage: Eukaryota; Metazoa; Chordata; Aves; Passeriformes; Paridae. The record is from RNAcentral.